AUCAUUAGUGAUUAAUUAUUGAGUGAUAAAAAACUCAUAAUCUUCUACAAACCACUGUUUUAAAAUGUUUACUAGAAUGUCCAAGCAGUUAAGCUGUUGAAAUAUUAAAAGUUUUAUAAAACUUUCAGCAACGGAUCUCUUGGUUCAGGCAUCGAUGAAGAACGCAGCGAAAUGCGAUAAGUAAUGUGAAUUGCAGAUACAGUGAAUCAUCGAAUCUUUGAACGCAAAUGGCACUCUAUGGUAUUCCGUAGAGUACGUCUGUUUGAGCGUCGCGAACAUCUCCAUAAUUAGUUUUUCUAAUUAAGGGUUUUGAGGUUGUCAUUGUAUUAUGACUCCCUUUAAAAUAAUUAGUGAUGACCUUAUGAAUGGGUUAAUACUGUGUGUUAUAAUGGAUUACAUCCAUCACCAGUCAGAGAGUAAUCUCGCCUUAGUAAUUUGUAGUGAUUGCUUCUAAUCGCCUUUAUUGGCAAAUUA
RNAcentral lists this unclassified non-coding RNA (474 nucleotides) under Wallemia muriae. Its description in RNAcentral is "sequence contains 18S rRNA gene, ITS1, 5.8S rRNA gene, ITS2, 28S rRNA gene". The stretch from base 120 to 272 matches the Rfam family "5.8S ribosomal RNA". The record is from RNAcentral. Lineage: Eukaryota; Fungi; Basidiomycota; Wallemiomycetes; Wallemiales; Wallemiaceae.